Molecule: ribosomal RNA, 229 nt
Filed under: Penicillium roodeplaatense
Lineage: Eukaryota; Fungi; Ascomycota; Eurotiomycetes; Eurotiales; Aspergillaceae
Description: partial 28S ribosomal RNA
Rfam family: Eukaryotic large subunit ribosomal RNA
Source: RNAcentral
GGUUGACCUCGGAUCAGGUAGGGAUACCCGCUGAACUUAAGCAUAUCAAUAAGCGGAGGAAAAGAAACCAACAGGGAUUGCCUCAGUAACGGCGAGUGAAGCGGCAAGAGCUCAAAUUUGAAAGCUGGCUCCUUCGGGGUCCGCAUUGUAAUUUGCAGAGGAUGCUUCGGGAGCGGUCCCCAUCUAAGUGCCCUGGAACGGGACGUCAUAGAGGGUGAGAAUCCCGUAU